UCCAGACUCCUACGGGAGGCAGCAGUGGGGGAUAUUGCACAAUGGGGGGAACCCUGAUGCAGCGACGCCGCGUGGGUGAAGGAGUGCUUCGGCAUGUAAAGCCCUAUCGGCAGGGAAGAAGCAAGACGGUACCUGACUAAGAAGCCCCGGCUAACUACGUGCCAGCAGCCGCGGUAAUACGUAUGGGGCAAGCGUUAUCCGGAUUUACUGGGUGUAAAGGGAGCGUAGGCGGCAGGGCAAGCCUGAUGUGAAAGCCCGGGGCUCAACCCCGGGACUGCAUUUGGAACUGUGUGGCUGGAGUGUCGGAGAGGCAGGCGGAAUUCCUAGUGUAGCGGUGAAAUGCGUAGAUAUUAGGAGGAACACCAGUGGCGAAGGCGGCCUGCUGGACGAUGACUGACGUUGAGGCUCGAAAGCGUGGGGAGCAAACAGGAUUAGAUACCCUAGUAGA
RNAcentral lists this ribosomal RNA (448 nucleotides) under uncultured bacterium. Its description in RNAcentral is "bacterial SSU rRNA". It matches the Rfam family "Bacterial small subunit ribosomal RNA", at positions 330 to 794 of the family's 1533-position model. The record is from RNAcentral.